UACGUAGGGGGCAAGCGUUGUCCGGAUUUAUUGGGCGUAAAGAGCGUGUAGGCGGUUAGGUAGGUCCGUUGUGAAAACUCGAGGCUCAACCUCGAGACGCCGAUGGAAACCAUCUGACUAGAGUCCGGAAGAGGAGAGUGGAAUUCCUGGUGUAGCGGUGAAAUGCGUAGAUAUCUGGAGGAAUACCGGUGGCGAAGGCGGCAUCCUGGACCGACAUUGACGCUGAACGGCGAAAGCUAGGGGAGCAAACGGG
This 253-nucleotide ribosomal RNA is filed under the name uncultured bacterium. RNAcentral describes it as "partial 16S ribosomal RNA". It matches the Rfam family "Bacterial small subunit ribosomal RNA", at positions 524 to 776 of the family's 1533-position model. The record is from RNAcentral.